UAAAUAUAUUAAUAAACUUUAACAAUAGUAGUAAAGAGAGAAGGUAUAACAGCGCUUACUUGCAGAGGACGAUAGCGAGAGGAAACUGAUCUAUUAACGAAUCGAAUGGGUUGAAAUCGAAGAAGACGAAAAAUAUAGGUUGGAAGAACAAUAAAAAGGGGGGAUGGAGAACCCUUGAGCUUCGUCGAUUCAGUGAAGGAACA
Long non-coding RNA from Hibiscus syriacus, 203 nucleotides. RefSeq lists it as uncharacterized. The transcript has 3 exons. Lineage: Eukaryota; Viridiplantae; Streptophyta; Magnoliopsida; Malvales; Malvaceae. The record is from RefSeq and is a predicted model, not a curated record.